AGAGUUGUAUCCUGGCUCAGGACGAACGCUGGCGGCGUGCUUAACACAUGCAAGUCGAGCGAUGAAGUUCCUUCGGGAAUGGAUUAGCGGCGGACGGGUGAGUAACACGUGGGUAACCUGCCUCAUAGAGGGGAAUAGCCUUCCGAAAGGAAGAUUAAUACCGCAUAAGAUUGUAGCUUCGCAUGAAGCAGCAAUUAAAGGAGUAAUCCGCUAUGAGAUGGACCCGCGUCGCAUUAGCUAGUUGGUGAGGUAACGGCUCACCAAGGCGACGAUGCGUAGCCGACCUGAGAGGGUGAUCGGCCACAUUGGGACUGAGACACGGCCCAGACUCCUACGGGAGGCAGCAGUGGGGAAUAUUGCACAAUGGGGGAAACCCUGAUGCAGCAACGCCGCGUGAGUGAUGACGGUCUUCGGAUUGUAAAACUCUGUCUUCAGGGACGAUAAUGACGGUACCUGAGGAGGAAGCCACGGCUAACUACGUGCCAGCAGCCGCGGUAAUACGUAGGUGGCAAGCGUUGUCCGGAUUUACUGGGCGUAAAGGGAGCGUAGGUGGAUAUUUAAGUGGGAUGUGAAAUACUCGGGCUU
This 585-nucleotide ribosomal RNA is filed under the name uncultured Bacillota bacterium. RNAcentral describes it as "bacterial SSU rRNA". It matches the Rfam family "Bacterial small subunit ribosomal RNA", at positions 8 to 610 of the family's 1533-position model. The record is from RNAcentral. Lineage: Bacteria; Bacillati; Bacillota.